CCUACGGGUGGCAGCAGUGGGGAAUAUUGGACAAUGGGCGAAAGCCUGAUCCAGCCAUGCCGCGUGUGUGAAGAAGGCCUUCGGGUUGUAAAGCACUUUCAGUGGGGAAGAAAGCCUUGGGGCUAAUACCCUCGAGGAAGGACAUCACCCACAGAAGAAGCACCGGCUAACUCCGUGCCAGCAGCCGCGGUAAUACGGAGGGUGCGAGCGUUAAUCGGAAUUACUGGGCGUAAAGCGCGCGUAGGCGGUCUGAUAAGCCGGUUGUGAAAGCCCCGGGCUCAACCUGGGAACGGCAUCCGGAACUGUCAGGCUAGAGUGCAGGAGAGGAAGGUAGAAUUCCCGGUGUAGCGGUGAAAUGCGUAGAGAUCGGGAGGAAUACCAGUGGCGAAGGCGGCCUUCUGGACUGACACUGACGCUGAGGUGCGAAAGCGGGGGUAGCAAACAGGAUUAGAUACCCUGGUAGUC
Molecule: ribosomal RNA, 465 nt
Filed under: Vreelandella stevensii
Lineage: Bacteria; Pseudomonadati; Pseudomonadota; Gammaproteobacteria; Oceanospirillales; Halomonadaceae
Description: partial 16S ribosomal RNA
Rfam family: Bacterial small subunit ribosomal RNA
Source: RNAcentral